UAGGUCUUCUCCCUUUAUGUGUGAUCCCAUAGUUCAAUUCUAUUUAGUAGUGAGAUAUACCAUGAUCUCUAUCAUAGGUAUCACUGAAACUCCUUUCAAUGGAUCAGAACAGUUUCACUCUAACUUGACAAGGAUCAUUGAUCUAGAACGAUCCUAUUGAGCUCUCACAAUCUAUCAGUGAUAUCUAGCAAUAUGUAGUGACAACCUAGCAGAAUCAAAAUAGAGCCUCUAGGUAUAAUUAAUGUAUGAUACAAUCCUUUUAUUGUGAGUCCCGACUAGAUGGC
RNAcentral lists this long non-coding RNA (284 nucleotides) under Elaeis guineensis (African oil palm). Its description in RNAcentral is "long non-coding RNA (EGUI_LNC076860)". Lineage: Eukaryota; Viridiplantae; Streptophyta; Magnoliopsida; Arecales; Arecaceae. The record is from RNAcentral.